Molecule: ribosomal RNA, 304 nt
Filed under: uncultured bacterium
Lineage: Bacteria
Description: bacterial SSU rRNA
Rfam family: Bacterial small subunit ribosomal RNA
Source: RNAcentral
AUUGAACGCUAGCGGCAUGCCUUACACAUGCAAGUCGAACGGUAACAGGUCUUCGGACGCUGACGAGUGGCGAACGGGUGAGUAAUACAUCGGAACGUGCCCAGUAAUGGGGGAUAGCCCGGCGAAAGCCGGAUUAAUACCGCAUACGACCUACGGGUGAAAGCGGGGGAUUCGCAAGAACCUCGCGUUAUUGGAGCGGCCGAUGUCAGAUUAGGUAGUUGGUGGGGUAAAGGCCUACCAAGCCUGCGAUCUGUAGUUGGUCUGAGAGGACGACCAGCCACACUGGGACUGAGACACGGCCCAG